CCUACGGGAGGCUGCAGUCGAGAAUCAUUCACAAUGGGGGAAACCCUGAUGGUGCGACGCCGCGUGGGGGAAUGAAGGUCUUCGGAUUGUAAACCCCUGUCAUGUGGGAGCAAAUUAAAAAGAUAGUACCCCAAGAGGAAGAGACGGCUAACUCUGUGCCAGCAGCCGCGGUAAUACAGAGGUCUCAAGCGUUGUUCGGAAUCACUGGGCGUAAAGCGUGCGUAGGCUGUUUCGUAAGUCGUGUGUGAAAGGCGCGGGCUCAACCCGCGGACGGCACAUGAUACUGCGAGACUAGAGUAAUGGAGGGGGAACCGGAAUUCUCGGUGUAGCAGUGAAAUGCGUAGAUAUCGAGAGGAACACUCGUGGCGAAGGCGGGUUCCUGGACAUUAACUGACGCUGAGGCACGAAGGCCAGGGGAGCGAAAGGGAUUAGAUACCCUGGUAGUC
RNAcentral lists this ribosomal RNA (446 nucleotides) under uncultured bacterium. RNAcentral describes it as "partial 16S ribosomal RNA". It matches the Rfam family "Bacterial small subunit ribosomal RNA", at positions 338 to 795 of the family's 1533-position model. The record is from RNAcentral.